This is a long non-coding RNA of Vitis vinifera (wine grape), 893 nucleotides long. RefSeq lists it as uncharacterized. Lineage: Eukaryota; Viridiplantae; Streptophyta; Magnoliopsida; Vitales; Vitaceae. The transcript has 2 exons. The record is from RefSeq and is a predicted model, not a curated record.
UAUGAAUUUUUAAAUUGAUAUAAAUUGUAAAUUAAUAAAAAAAAUAAAAAUAGUAAUAGUGAAGAGAGAAAGGGGAAAGGUGUGGGUGGAUUUGCAGUGAAGUACGGAGGUAAAAAGAAGUCUAAAUUUGAAAUUUCUCAAGGUUUCUCGUUUCCCAAACAGACUUUUUAUUUAUUAUUAUAUUAGCAGCUGAGAAGAAGAAGAAGAAGAACCCAAAAAAACUGUAACAGGGACGACACAAAGAGCCAUCUUUAAGAUUUGAGCCUGGGUAUUCUGUGUCCAUAGCAGCAUCAUGAUGUCUUCUGUGCAUGAUCUUUCUGGUAUUUUUCUUAAGAUAUUUUUUGUCUGGUAUUUUUCUUCAGAUAUUUUUUGUUAAACAUAAGUUUGUACAAUAUUGUUCUAUGUUUUUUUUUUUUUUGGUCAUGCCAGAACCUUUAUUUUUCAUAUGGUAAGGUCUGUUAGGAAGGGUGUGGGGGAUAUUAUAAUUUUUGACAAGGUCUAAUUCACAUGAGAUGUGUCUUUGUGUCGAUGUAACUGGAGCUCAUUUAUCAGGUUCAUCAGUGAAGAAUCUGAUGUGCCCAGAAAAUUAGUGCCAGCCCAAAAGUUUUAUUUGUAACAUGCUGACCGCCUUUAACUUAUGGCUGCUGUACCCUGAGAAGAAAGAAGUGCAUGUGAAAAUUGUAAUAGUUGAUAUGUAGAUCAAAAGGGUUAAAAUAGUGAUGUCAAGACGUUUUGAUACCUUUUGGAUUAAUUUUCUUUUCCUUUGUUUUGAUUAGGUUUUGUAUUCAGAGAAAGAUUUCUUGUGCUUCACUUGUUUACUCUAUUAAUGAAAAUGUUUUUAUUUUUGAUAAAAAUAAAUAAAUAAAUAAAAAUCUUAUAAUUGAUUUCCUGUA